UUAAAAAGCUCGUAGUUGGAUUUCUGUUACGGCGAGUCGGCCGGCUCUUCGGAGUUGUAGCUAGAUUUCGUGUAGCAUCUUGGCGUAAUUACCACUGGCAUUCAUUUGUUGGUGUGUAGGACCGCCUCGUUUACUUUGAGAAAAUCAAUUCGUUCAAAGAAGACUAUCGUUUUGAAUGUAUUAGCAUGGAAUAAUAAUAUAGGACUUUUGGUUCUAUUUUGUUGGUUGUUCGAGAACCAAAGUAAUGAUUGAUAGGGACAGUUGGGGGCAUCAGUAUUCUGAAGCGAGAGGUGAAAUUCUUGGACCUUCGGAAGACUAACAGCUGCGAAAGCGUUUGCCUAGCAUGUUCUCUUUAAUCAAGAACGAAGGUUGGGGGAUCGAAGACGAUCAGAUACCGUCGUAGUCUCAACUAUAAACUAUGCCAGCUAGGGAUGAGUGGAUGUUUAAUUACGACUCCAUUCGCACCUUAUGAGAAAUCAAAGCAUUUGGGUUCCGGGGGGAGUAUGGUCGCAAGGCUGAAACUUAAAGGAAUUGACGGGAGGGCACCACCAGGAGUGGAGCCUGUGGCUUAAUUUGACUCAACACGGGAAAAUUACCAGGACCGGACAUAGCGAGGAU
This 618-nucleotide ribosomal RNA is filed under the name uncultured marine eukaryote. RNAcentral's name for it is "bacterial SSU rRNA". It matches the Rfam family "Eukaryotic small subunit ribosomal RNA", at positions 619 to 1240 of the family's 1831-position model. The record is from RNAcentral.